RNAcentral lists this ribosomal RNA (422 nucleotides) under uncultured Oscillospiraceae bacterium. RNAcentral's name for it is "bacterial SSU rRNA". It matches the Rfam family "Bacterial small subunit ribosomal RNA", at positions 355 to 794 of the family's 1533-position model. Lineage: Bacteria; Bacillati; Bacillota; Clostridia; Eubacteriales; Oscillospiraceae. The record is from RNAcentral.
UGGGGAAUAUUGCGCAAUGGGGGAAACCCUGACGCAGCAACGCCGCGUGAAGGAAGAAGGUCUUCGGAUUGUAAACUUUUGUCUUGUGGGACGAUAAUGACGGUACCACAAAAGAAAGCUCCGGCUAACUACGUGCCAGCAGCCGCGGUAAUACGUAGGGAGCGAGCGUUGUCCGGAAUUACUGGGUGUAAAGGGUGCGUAGGCGGGUCGGCAAGUCAGAUGUGAAAUCUCCGGGCUUAACUCGGAGCGUGCAUUUGAAACUGCAGGUCUUGAGGACAGGAGAGGCAAGCGGAAUUCCCAGUGUAGCGGUGAAAUGCGUAGAUAUUGGGAGGAACACCAGUGGCGAAGGCGGCUUGCUGGACUGUAACUGACGCUGAGGCACGAAAGCGUGGGGAGCAAACAGGAUUAGAUACCCUGGUAGU